ACGGAACCAGAAAUCAACCCAAAUAUAGGUUCUUUUCACUCAUAUCGGCUCUUCCGUGCGAGAACCCAAAUUUGGCUAUACCGCAUUAAAGCUCUGAGUGGGUAGUUUCCGUUUGAUGCCGGCAGAAAAUUGCAACCCAUCGCAUAGUUCAUUCUACCUAGCGUUAACUUUCGAAGUACCCUAGCGGGUUGAAAUAAACCCACUUUUGGGUAAACGGCAAAAAACCCAAAUUUGGCUUCUCGCACGGACAUUAUCGGCUAGGUAGCUGCUUCUCGCUUUGUUUUUGACAACAAUGCGAGCGGGAGAGCGAGGAAACAACCCACUGCUGGGUAAAAAGUUCAAGCGGUAUACGUAUUUUUGCGUUCUUUUAACGUAUUUUUUUAGGUAAUCUGUUUUUUUUUCCGUGCAUAAUUGUUAUUGGAUUUUCCGAUGAAAAUUUCUUUGGAAAUUUCACAUGAAAACAAUGUGAAAACUUUUUUUAGUGUAGUUCACAUUGGAAUUUUCAGAAACGUCAAAUCAGUUUUUUUUUUAACCACAGUCGAGCUUCUCAGCUGAAUCAAGUCCAAGUAGGUAGCAACAUUCUAUUUUAAUUAAUCUUUUCAUUGUAGGCUUUCUCUACCACAAUCGGAACAAGUGAAAACAAUUCAUUAAACGUUUAGGCAUCAGUUCGUAUUUUGUUUGCAUCUGUAUUCGACUGGAACCUAAAAAAAAUUACGGAUGAGACCGACGUGACACUGAGUACAAAAGGAAACAAAACUUAGUACAUCGGUCACUAGUCCGAUAUUGGAACACUCCGAGCCAUCCACAACCACCGCCAUCAUAGUGUCGCCUGAAACGACGUUCGAUGCUUUCUUACUCGGAACAAAUCCCUCGGCAAAUGAAGGACGCUGCUAGUAACAUAAGUAUCAAUUAAUAACCGCUGAAGUUCUUUUUUUCUCGUUUUGUUGGGCUCAUACUCACAAUAUUUAUUGUUUCUUUAGGUUCACGGCUUGUUGAUCCAGUUUUGCAACGCUCAGGGCCUGACGAUUUAUUGAGAAUCGACGGACGACUUUCUCGGGGAGCUGGUGCCUGUACUGACUGUUCUGAUUUCGCCGAAUCAAGCUUAUUCAUUAAGAGGAAAGGCAGUGGUGCGCCCGAGAUUUGUCUGUGGUGUUCUCUGGUGCGCGCGGCUAACUAUUUUAGCAUUUUUGGCAAUUAUUGGUCAAAUUUUUAAGGAUUUGGAAUCAAUCCGUCUCUUCGAAAUUGAUUGAAGAUCAUUUUCUGUGAAGAAACCAUUUUGAUUAGACUUUUAGUUUUGGCUGGAAUGUCUUUUUAGUGACGAAAAACUUCCAACAUCUUAUGACAUUUCUAUCUAUUUUUUGUGCCAGAGACCGAUUUCGGCCAAAUUUCGAAAAUCGGAAACAAUCCGUCGAUAGAGAAUUUCAUAAAGAAUAAUCUAAUUGAAUAAAAAUUACGAUAAAAAAUCUCUGAAAUUCUCGAAGCUCUUUAGAAUCCGCAUCAAUAAUUAGCAAAAAUCUCAUAAAUCUUAUCAUUUCUUGAGGUACGAUCGCCUCGAAACGACCGAUGAACCCAUCGGAGCAGACCAAUGAAUUCAUGGAGUAAUCCAUGUAGCAGAAUAAAUCAUCGCUCAAUUCGGAAGGAUUCUACAAAUUCUUCUAUUUUGAAAUAUAUAAAUAGUAUAUAUUUAGCAAAAACUAUGAUAAAAGAAAAAUAAAUUCUUUCGAAACCA
Aedes albopictus (Asian tiger mosquito) is the source of this 1729-nucleotide long non-coding RNA. RefSeq lists it as uncharacterized. The record is from RefSeq and is a predicted model, not a curated record. The transcript is spliced from 2 exons. Lineage: Eukaryota; Metazoa; Arthropoda; Insecta; Diptera; Culicidae.